AGGGUUCCACACGUACCCAUCCCGAACACGACCGUUAAGCCCUCCAGCGCCGAUGGUACUUGGACCGCAGGGUCCUGGGAGAGUAGGACGUCGCCAAGC
Molecule: ribosomal RNA, 99 nt
Filed under: Paenibacillus macquariensis subsp. macquariensis
Lineage: Bacteria; Bacillati; Bacillota; Bacilli; Caryophanales; Paenibacillaceae
Source: RNAcentral